CUACUAGGGUUUCUAAUCCUGUUUGCUCCCCACGCUUUCGUGCAUGAGCGUCAGUGUCAGCCCAGAGACCUGCCUUCGCCAUCGGUAUUCCUCCUGAUAUCUACGCAUUUCACUGCUACACCAGGAAUUCCAGUCUCCUCUGCCGCACUCCAGCCUUGCAGUCCCAAAUGCCAUUCCCAGGUUAAGCCCGGGGAUUUCACAUCUGGCUUACAAAACCGCCUGCGCACGCUUUACGCCCAGUAAUUCCGAUUAACGCUCGCACCCUACGUAUUACCGCGGCUGCUGGCAC
This 289-nucleotide ribosomal RNA is filed under the name uncultured beta proteobacterium. Its description in RNAcentral is "partial 16S ribosomal RNA". Lineage: Bacteria; Pseudomonadati; Pseudomonadota; Betaproteobacteria. The record is from RNAcentral.